UUUCUUUGAGUAUAUGAAUGUGAUAAAUUU
Molecule: non-coding RNA, 30 nt
Filed under: Trypanosoma brucei brucei
Lineage: Eukaryota; Euglenozoa; Kinetoplastea; Trypanosomatida; Trypanosomatidae
Source: RNAcentral